This 301-nucleotide ribosomal RNA is filed under the name uncultured bacterium. RNAcentral describes it as "partial 16S ribosomal RNA". It matches the Rfam family "Bacterial small subunit ribosomal RNA", at positions 509 to 809 of the family's 1533-position model. The record is from RNAcentral.
CAGUAGCCGCGGUAAUGCGUAGGUGGCAAGCGUUGUCCGGAAUUAUUGGGCGUAAAGGGCUCGCAGGCGGUUUCUUAAGUCUGAUGUGAAAGCCCCCGGCUCAACCGGGGAGGGUCAUUGGAAACUGGGAAACUUGAGUGCAGAAGAGGAGGGUGGAAUUCCACGUGUAGCGGUGAAAUGCGUAGAGAUGUGGAGGAACACCAGUGGCGAAGGCGACUCUCUGGUCUGUAACUGACGCUGAGGAGCGAAAGCGUGGGGAGCGAACAGGAUUAGAUACCCCUGUAGUCCCUGUCUCUUAUAA